Molecule: ribosomal RNA, 571 nt
Filed under: Fejervarya moodiei
Lineage: Eukaryota; Metazoa; Chordata; Amphibia; Anura; Dicroglossidae
Description: partial 16S ribosomal RNA
Rfam family: Bacterial large subunit ribosomal RNA
Source: RNAcentral
AAAACAUCGCCUCCUGAUUACCCAUAUGAGGUCCAGCCUGCCCAGUGACAUGAUUAAACGGCCGCGGUACUCUGACCGUGCGAAGGUAGCAUAAUCACUUGUUCUCUAAAUAAGGACUAGAAUGAACGACAUCACGAGGGCCUUACUGUCUCCUUUUUCCAAUCAGUGAAACUGAUCUCCCCGUGAAGAAGCGGGGAUCUCACUAUAAGACGAGAAGACCCCAUGGAGCUUUAAACCCAACAGACAAUCCUAACCUCCUUCUCCCCCAAAAGUUUUUAAAUAGUGUCUGCUGGUUUUAGGCUGGGGUGACCGCGGAGUAAAAAUUAUCCUCCAUGACGUAUGGGACUUCCCCCCAAUCCACGAGCUACUGCUCUAAGAAUCAUCAAAUUGACGACAAAUGAUCCAAUCUAUUGAUCAACGAACCAAGUUACCCUGGGGAUAACAGCGCAAUCCAUUUCAAGAGCUCCUAUCGACAAAUGGGUUUACGACCUCGAUGUUGGAUCAGGGUACCCAAGUGGUGCAGCCGCUACUAAUGGUUUGUUUGUUCAACAAUUAAAACCCUACGUGAUCU